This 361-nucleotide long non-coding RNA is filed under the name Mus spicilegus (steppe mouse). RNAcentral's name for it is "lncRNA (ENSMSIG00000014525.1)". Lineage: Eukaryota; Metazoa; Chordata; Mammalia; Rodentia; Muridae. The record is from RNAcentral.
GUAAAAUUUCUAUCACCUCUAAGAUCUAAAAUACUAUUUCAAAGAAACAAAACCCCUUUUAUUCUUUUUUAUUAUUCAGGUAUGAAUAAUGCAUGAUCGCUGCAGCGACCAGGGCAACAUCAACAACCAUAUCAGAUGAGCCCGUUGCUCAGACGGGGCCAGCUCUGAGAUCCCGGUUUUCAAUCGACAAUACAAACCAUUUGGAUGUGUCCAUGGUGGAGAAGAGCCACAGUGUAAUUAUUAGCCUCAGCAGAGAGCAAACUACAUUGCAACCACUACAGGAGCCAGAGCCCAGUGCCAGCUUGCUAUUCAUCCCUCCUAGAGUCAGUUUCGGGGAGAGUGUUCCAGGACUCUAUCUAAG